RNAcentral lists this ribosomal RNA (253 nucleotides) under uncultured prokaryote. Its description in RNAcentral is "partial 16S ribosomal RNA". It matches the Rfam family "Bacterial small subunit ribosomal RNA", at positions 524 to 776 of the family's 1533-position model. The record is from RNAcentral.
AACGUAGGACGCAAGCGUUAUCCGGAGUUACUGGGCGUAAAGCGCGGGCAGGCGGCUCUGCCAGUCUGAUGUGAAAUCUCCCGGCUCAACCGGGAGCAGCCAUUGGAAACUACAGAGCUGGAGUCUAGCAGAGGUAGGCGGAAUUCCGGGUGGAGUGGUGAAAUGCGUAGAGAUCCGGAGGAACACCAGAGGCGAAGGCGGCCUACUGGGCUAGCACUGACGCUGAGCCGCGAAAGCCAGGGGAGCGAACGGG